RNAcentral lists this ribosomal RNA (441 nucleotides) under uncultured bacterium. RNAcentral's name for it is "partial 16S ribosomal RNA". It matches the Rfam family "Bacterial small subunit ribosomal RNA", at positions 338 to 795 of the family's 1533-position model. The record is from RNAcentral.
CCUACUGGUGGCAUCAUUAGGGCAUUUUGCGCAAUGGGCGAAAGCCUGACGCAGCAACGCCGCGUGAUUUCUUCCUCCCUUCGGGGUGUCCCUCUCUUUCCGUGGUUCCGCCCCUUGCCGGUCCCCCCCGCGGAAGCACCGGCUCACUCCGUGCCAGCAGCCGCGGUAAUCCGGAGGGUGCCCGCGUUGUCCGGCCUCCUUGGGCGUCCCGGGUUCGUCGGUGGCAGCUGAAGUCUGGUGUUAAAUGCAGAAGCUCAACUUCUGUUCGGCACUGGAUACUGGUAAGCUUGAAUGCGGUAGAGGUAAAGGGAAUUCCUGGUGUAGCGGUGAAAUGCGUAGAUAUCAGGAGGAACAUCGGUGGCGUAAGCGCUUUACUGGGCCGUAAUUGACACUGAGGAACGAAAGCCGGGGUAGCAAAUGGGAUUAGAGACCCGAGUAGUC